Pristis pectinata (smalltooth sawfish) is the source of this 260-nucleotide long non-coding RNA. RefSeq lists it as uncharacterized. The record is from RefSeq and is a predicted model, not a curated record. The transcript is spliced from 3 exons. Lineage: Eukaryota; Metazoa; Chordata; Chondrichthyes; Rhinopristiformes; Pristidae.
UUGUAGCUCAAUACCUUAAAGACUCAGGCAGUUCGAGGAGACGGCUACUCGCCCAAUUCCCAGAAUUGUUUGGUCUCCCUCAUCAUGUCUGUUGGAUGUGAUGAAAAUUGCCAGUGCUCCUUCCCUUUGGCUGCAUGGCUCUCUCCAGCCUGGAGAUUUUUCUUCAGUGACAAGCUCAAGCAUGGUUUCUGGCUGUUGAGCUUUUUAGCUUGGGCCUUGGAAUGACUCCUUCAUGGAUUUGCACCAGAAAGAAAAAUGUC